UCUUUCUUUCUCCUUCUUCUUUCUCUCUUUCUUUUCUUCUUCUUCUUCUUCUUUCUCUCCGCCAGAUUCCUUAUAGCAAACACAGCCAAAUUUCUCUCUGCUCCCUAAACCACAAAAGUUACGAACUUUAUCUUCUCUAGUUGAGUUUUUGAAUUGGGUGAUUUCUUUUUCUGCGUAGGGUGGGAAUGUGCUUUUGUCUGAAAUGUUGGGUACAUUUGCUCUAUCUGUUGGUGCUGCUGUGGGAAUGAAGUUUUGGGCAAGAUGGGCUCAUAAAGCUCUCUGGCACGCUUCUUUAUGGCAUAUGCACGAGUCUCACCACCGACCCAGAAAAGGUCCAUUCGAGCUUAACGAUGGACUGAAACAGAGAGAGAAGAGAUAAGGAAUCUGGCAGAGAGAAAGAAGAAGAAGAAAAGAAAGAGA
Prunus avium (sweet cherry) is the source of this 420-nucleotide long non-coding RNA. RefSeq lists it as uncharacterized. The record is from RefSeq and is a predicted model, not a curated record. Lineage: Eukaryota; Viridiplantae; Streptophyta; Magnoliopsida; Rosales; Rosaceae.